Molecule: ribosomal RNA, 456 nt
Filed under: uncultured bacterium
Lineage: Bacteria
Description: SSU rRNA
Rfam family: Bacterial small subunit ribosomal RNA
Source: RNAcentral
AGAAUCAACGCUGGCGGCGUGCCUAACACAUGCAAGUCGAACGAGAAAGGGUAGCAAUACCUGAGUAAAGUGGCGCACGGGUGAGUAACACGUGACUAACCUACCUUUUAGUGGGGGAUAACCUAGGGAAACCUGGGCUAAUACCGCAUAAUACCUACGGGUCAAAGCAGCAAUGCGCUGAAUGAGGGGGUCGCGGUCGAUUAGUUAGUUGGCAGGGUAAUGGCCUACCAAGACUGUGAUCGAUAUCCGGCCUGAGAGGGCGCACGGACACACUGGAACUGAAACACGGUCCAGACUCCUACGGGAGGCAGCAGUGGGAAUUUGCGCAAUGGGGGAAACCCUGACGCAGCAACGCCGCGUGGAGGAUGAAGUCCUUGGGACGUAAACUCCUUUCGAUCGGGACGAUAAUGACGGUACCGGAAGAAGAAGCCCGGCUAACUUCGCGCCAGCAGCCGC